RNAcentral lists this ribosomal RNA (484 nucleotides) under uncultured bacterium. Its description in RNAcentral is "partial 16S ribosomal RNA". It matches the Rfam family "Bacterial small subunit ribosomal RNA", at positions 29 to 507 of the family's 1533-position model. The record is from RNAcentral.
AUUGAACGCUGGCGGCAUGCUUUACACAUGCAAGUCGAACGGCAGCGCGGGCUUCGGCCUGGCGGCGAGUGGCGAACGGGUGAGUAAUACAUCGGAACGUGCCCAGCCGUGGGGGAUAGCUCGGCGAAAGCCGGAUUAAUACCGCAUACGACCUGAGGGUGAAAGCGGGGGAUCUUCGGACCUCGCGCUAUUGGCGCGGCCGUUGGCAGAUUAGCUAGUUGGUGGGGUAAAGGCCUACCAAGGCGACGAUCUGUAGCUGGUCUGAGAGGACGACCAGCCACACUGGAACUGAGACACGGCCCAGACUCCUACGGGAGGCAGCAGUGGGGAAUUUUGGACAAUGGGCGAAAGCCUGAUCCAGCAAUGCCGCGUGUGUGAUGAAGGCCUUCGGGUUGUAAAGCACUUUUGGCGGGAACGAAAAGGACUGUGCCAAUACCACGGUUCGAUGACGGUACCCGCAGAAUAAGCACCGGCUAACUACGUG